RNAcentral lists this ribosomal RNA (406 nucleotides) under uncultured bacterium. RNAcentral's name for it is "partial 16S ribosomal RNA". It matches the Rfam family "Bacterial small subunit ribosomal RNA", at positions 29 to 526 of the family's 1533-position model. The record is from RNAcentral.
AUUGAACGCUGGCGGUAGGCCUAACACAUGCAAGUCGAGCGAGCGGCGGAAGGGUGAGUAAUGUCUGGGAAACUGCCUGAUGGAGGGGGAUAACUACUGGAAACGGUAGCUAAUACCGCAUACAAGACGAUGUGCCCAGAUGGGAUUAGCUAGUAGGUGGGGUAACGGCUAACCGAGGCAACGCGCCCGAGCUGGUCUGAGAGGAGGACAAGCCACACUGGAACUGAGCCACGGUCCAGACUCCUACGGGAGGCAGCAUUGGGGAAUAUUGCACAAUGGGCGCAAGCCUGAUGCAGCCAUGCCGCGUGUGUGAAGAAGGCCUUCGGGUUGUAAAGCACUUUCAGCGGGGAGGCGUUACCCGCAGAAGAAGCACCGGCUAACUCCGGGCCAGCAGCCGCGGUAAUAC